AGCAGCCGCGGUAAUUCCAGCUCCAAUAGCGUAUAUUAAAGUUGUUGCAGUUAAAAGCUCGUAGUUGAAUUUCGGGGUCAGUAAGCUGGUCGUGCCACUGGUAUGCACUGGCUUCGCUGAUUCCUCCUUCUUGUAGAACCGUAAUGCCAUUAAGUUGGUGUUGCGGGGAAACAGGACUGUUACUUUGAAAAAUUAGAGUGUUUAAAGCAGGCUAACGCUUGAAUACAUUGGCAUGGAAUAAUGAAAUAGGACGACGAUCCUAUUUUGUUGGUUUCUAGGAUUGACGUAAUGAUUAAUAGGGAUAGUUGGGGGCAUUAGUAUUCAAUUGUCAGAGGUGAAAUUCUUGGAUUUAUUGAAGACUAACUACUGCGAAAGCAUUUGCCAAGGAUGUUCUCAUUAAUCAAGAACGAAAGUUAGGGGAUCGAAGACGAUCAGAUACCGUCGUAGUCUUAACCAUAAACUAUGCCGACUAGGGAUCGGAUGA
Molecule: ribosomal RNA, 484 nt
Filed under: uncultured Glomus
Lineage: Eukaryota; Fungi; Glomeromycota; Glomeromycetes; Glomerales; Glomeraceae
Description: SSU rRNA
Rfam family: Eukaryotic small subunit ribosomal RNA
Source: RNAcentral